Callithrix jacchus (white-tufted-ear marmoset) is the source of this 102-nucleotide Y RNA. It matches the Rfam family "Y RNA". Rfam says of the family: Y RNAs are components of the Ro ribonucleoprotein particle (Ro RNP), in association with Ro60 and La proteins. The Y RNAs and Ro60 and La proteins are well conserved, but the function of the Ro RNP is not known. Lineage: Eukaryota; Metazoa; Chordata; Mammalia; Primates; Cebidae. The record is from Ensembl.
GGCUGGUCUAAGUGCAGUGCUGUUUACAAGUAAUUGAUCACAAUCAGUUACAGAUUUCUUUGUUCCUUCUCCCCUUUCAUUGCUUCACUUGACUAGCCUUAA